UGCAAGUCGAACGAGAAGAGAUGAGAAGCUUGCUUCUUAUUGAUUCGAGUGGCAACGGGUGAGUAACGCGUAAGCAACCCUGCCGCAAAGAUGGGACAACAGUCCGAAAGGACUGCUAAUACCGAAUGUUGUAUCUCCUCCGCAUGGAAGAGAUAUUAAAGAUGGCCUCUACUUGUAAGCUAUCGCUUUGCGAUGGGUCUGCGUCUGAUUAGGUAGUUGGUGAGGUAACGGCCCACCAAGCCGACGAUCAGUAGCCGGUCUGAGAGGAUGGACGGCCACACUGGAACUGAGACACGGUCCAGACUCCUACGGGAGGCAGCAGUGGGGAAUCUUCCGCAAUGGGCGAAAGCCUGACGGAGCAACGCCGCGUGAACGAUGACGGCCUUCGGGUUGUAAAGUUCUGUUAUACGGGACGAAUGGCGUAGCGGUCAAUACCCGUUACGAGUGACGGUACCGUAAGAGAAAGCCACGGCUAACUACGUG
Molecule: ribosomal RNA, 483 nt
Filed under: uncultured bacterium
Lineage: Bacteria
Description: bacterial SSU rRNA
Rfam family: Bacterial small subunit ribosomal RNA
Source: RNAcentral